ACUCGUACUCGUCGGGCUUGCGGCCGGCCUGCCGGGCCAGCUCCUGGGUGAUGGCGAUCAGACGCGGGUCGUGCGACCCGAUCAUCGGGUA
Molecule: transfer RNA, 91 nt
Filed under: Streptomyces hiroshimensis
Lineage: Bacteria; Bacillati; Actinomycetota; Actinomycetes; Kitasatosporales; Streptomycetaceae
Description: tRNA-Gly
Source: RNAcentral